This 483-nucleotide ribosomal RNA is filed under the name uncultured bacterium. Its description in RNAcentral is "partial 16S ribosomal RNA". It matches the Rfam family "Bacterial small subunit ribosomal RNA", at positions 30 to 507 of the family's 1533-position model. The record is from RNAcentral.
UUGAACGCUGGCGGCAGGCCUAACACAUGCAAGUCGAGCGGAUGAAGGGAGCUUGCUCCUGGAUUCAGCGGCGGACGGGUGAGUAAUGCCUAGGAAUCUGCCUGGUAGUGGGGGAUAGCGUCCGGAAACGGGCGCUAAUACCGCAUACGUCCUGAGGGAGAAAGUGGGGGAUCUUCGGACCUCACGCUAUCAGAUGAGCCUAGGUCGGAUUAGCCAGUUGGUGGGGUAAAGGCCUACCAAGGCGACGAUCCGUAACUGGUCUGAGAGGAUGAUCAGUCACACUGGAACUGAGACACGGUCCAGACUCCUACGGGAGGCAGCAGUGGGGAAUAUUGGACAAUGGGCGAAAGCCUGAUCCAGCCAUGCCGCGUGUGUGAAGAAGGUCUUCGGAUUGUAAAGCACUUUAAGUUGGGAGGAAGGGCAGUAAGUUAAUACCUUGCUGUUUUGACGUUACCAACAGAAUAAGCACCGGCUAACUUCGUG